AGUGAACGCUGGCGGUAGGCCUAACACAUGCAAGUCGAACGGCAGCACAGGAGAGCUUGCUCUCUGGGUGGCGAGUGGCGGACGGGUGAGGAAUACAUCGGAAUCUACUUUUUCGUGGGGGAUAACGUAGGGAAACUUACGCUAAUACCGCAUACGACCUACGGGUGAAAGCAGGGGAUCUUCGGACCUUGCGCGAUUGAAUGAGCCGAUGUCGGAUUAGCUAGUUGGCGGGGUAAAGGACCACCAAGGCGACGAUCCGUAGCUGGUCUGAGAGGAUGAUAAGCAACACUGAAACUGAGACACGGUCCAGACCCCGACGGGAGGCAGCAGUGGGGAACAUUGGACAAUGGGCGCAAGCCUGAUCCAGCCAUACCGAGUGGGUGAAUAAGGCCUUCGGGUUGUAAAGCCCUUUUGUUGGGAAAGAAAUCCAGCUGGUUAAUACCCGGUUGGGAUGACGGUACCCAAAGAAUAAGCACCGGCUAACUUCGUGCCAGCCGCCGCCGUAA
Molecule: ribosomal RNA, 506 nt
Filed under: uncultured bacterium
Lineage: Bacteria
Description: partial 16S ribosomal RNA
Rfam family: Bacterial small subunit ribosomal RNA
Source: RNAcentral